GCAAUAGGUGGCUUCAAGAUCAUCCUUUUGCAUUACUUUUUGCACUUAUCUUCCAAUAGGAUAAAGGUAUUUGCACUUAUGGAUUCAAAUACCAUUCUCAUUUCCUUAUUUUAAGGAAACAAACUUGUUUAGUAUUUAUAGAAUUCAUUCCAUAACCAAUAACUCGUAGUUGUGUCCACGCCUAUAAAUACUAGCCUUGAGAUACAAUUGUAUUCAUGCGUCCCUGAUAGAUGACCCAAGCAGACUCGGAAGUUGGCUUCUCUUAAGUGCUUUCAGUUCAUUACAUAGUGCUCUCGUGAAUUUGCGUGGAAUUUUACGAGUUUAAUCUUCUUGUACAUAUAAAUAUUUGAAUUCAUACUGAUUUUCUCCUCUUUUAUUUUGUGCAUCAAGCAGGUGACACCUUAAAGAUUUAAUUCAUCUGUCCUUGACAGGUGAAGUUCUUUCCCUUUCUUGUACAUUCUUCUACUUUUCAUUUCUUUUUCAAGGCUCAAAUGGAGUCGAUUCUGAUACAAACAUUAGUUUUAAAGUGGUACCAAAAGUUUACUUCGUUCAGAUAGAAGACUUUACCUUAUUCUGUUCAAGCGAAGAUUUUUUUUAUUACUUUAGAGCCGAAGGCUUUACUUUAGCUCGACCAAUGAGAAGGCUUUGCAUUGUUCGGAGUGAAGAUCAUUACGGUGUCUAAUCUGAAGAUUUUAUGUUGUUCGAUCCAAGGACCAUUACACCAUCUAAGCCAAAGAUUUUACCUUAGAUGAGGCAAAGAUCAUUAUAUCAUCUAAACCAAAGACUUUACUUUAUAUGAGGCUUAGACCGAUAUAUCGUCUAAGUCAAAUAUUUUACUUUGCCCGACGCGAAUAUCAUUACACCAUCUAAGCCGAACUUUAUUUUGUUCGAGGCGAAGAUCAUUACACCGCCUAAACCAAAGAUCUUUUUUUUUGUUGAAGAUUUGACUUUACUUUAUCUGAGGCGAAAACCAUUACACCGUCUGAGCCAAAAAUUUUACUUUGUCUGAGGUGAAGAUCAUUACACCGUUUGAGCCAAAAAAUUUAUUUUGUCUGAAGCAAAGGCCAUUACACCGUCUAAGCUAAAGACUUUAUCUUGUUUGAAGAUUUAACUUUAUUUUAUCUAAGGCAUAGACCAUUACAACGUCUAAGCCAAAGAUUUUACUUUAUUUGAAGUGAAGAUCAUUACACCAUCUGAGCCAAAAAUUUAUUAUGUAUGAGGUGAAAACCAUUAUACCGUCUGAGCUAAAAAUCUUACUUUAUUUAUAAAUUUGACUUUUCUUCAUCUGAGGCGAAGACCAUUACACCGUCUGAGCCAAAGAUUUUACUUUGUCUGAGGUGAAGAUCAUUACACCGUCAGAGACAAAAAUUUACUUUGUCUGAGAUAAAGACCAUUACACCGUCUGAGCCAAAGACUUUACUUUAUAUGAAGCAAAGUCUAUUACACCGGCUAAGUUGAAGACUAUAUUUUGCAAAGGUGAAGACAACCAUCUAAGCUGAAGACUUUACUUUGUCCGAGGUUAAGACCAUUACACUGUCUAAAUUGAAGACUAUAUUGUAUCCAAGACGAAGACCAGCGAAGAUCAUUAUAGAGUCUAACAUGCAUAUUUUACUUUACUACCAAACGAUUUGACUUUUUGGUGCAAAGGAACAAAAAUUCGUCCUUAUUUCGAGAUGCAUGAAUCAGAGAUUGUAUGAAGCGUGAAAAAAAAGUUGACCACCAAGAAUAUCUCUUUAAUUUCAAUCUUCACAGAUAAUUUUAUGAUCUCCUUUAUAUAGAUAUAUUUCUCCCUUCUUCUUUUUUUUGCAGGUAAAAGAAGAUCUCAUCUGAAGAUACUACUUUAGUAAAGAUAACCUCCCAGUCGAAGAAUAUUUUUUUCUGCAACAUAAAUCAAGUCAUGCAAGGCAACAUUUUAAAUACUUUCAGUUGAAGAUUUGAAGAUAUAUUAAAACCUUCCUUCAAAUAAUUCAAGAUAUAAAUAUUUAAAGAUGGUGCAGACUAUAUCAAAGGCUUUUACCAUACACUUGAAGAUAUACUGAAACUUCCAACUAAAGAAUUGAAGGCUAUAUCAAUUUGAAAACUUCAAGGUUAUUAUUAUGAGGGCUUCUUAUUGGCUUUCAAUUGAAGACUUGGUGCUCAAAAGAAUUUAACUUGCAGAUUUUAACUUGAAGGCAUGGCAGACUUGAAGGCUUCUACUUGACGACUUGACAAAUUUGAAGACUUCGACUUGAAGACUUAGUGGAUUUGAAGAUUUUAACUUAAUGAUUCAACUUGAAAAUUUUACAGAAUUGAAGGCUUCAACUUUUGGCGAAUUCGAAGGCCUCAACUUGACUUGGUGAAUUUGAAGACUUUAACUUGAUGACUCAAUUUGAGGACUUCCCAAAAUUGAAGACUUUAACUUGAAAAUUUGCCGAAUUCGAAGGUCUCAUCAUCACUUAGCAGAUUUGAAAAAUCGAGAAGACUUGGUGGAUUUGAAGACUUAAACUCAAAGAUUUAGGUAGAUUUUAAGAAUUAAACUUGAAGGUUAAAGUAUACGAGUUAAACUUGAAGAUGUAGUCACUUUGAAGAAUUCAACUUGAAGACGUGGCAAACUAGGAUAGUUGAAGACUUAGCGGAGUAGAAGAAUUUAACUCAACUUCAACUUGAAGAUUUAGCAUGCCAGAGACUUCAAAUCAAUGAUAUAGAAAAUAUGAAGAAUUCAACUUGACGACUUAGCAAACUUGAAGAAUUCAGGUCAAAGACAUUACGGUCUUGAAAAUUUUGCAGCCUGCUAAAGACUAUAAUUGUCUCGAAGAUACCAAUCCUGGUGAAGAGGAUCAAGUCAUUAAGCAGUUUAUAACAAGUGAGUUUUUUUAUACUUUAUGGAUUUGAAGACUUGGCGGACUUGAAUACUACAACUUUAAUACCUAGCGGGCUUGAAUACUUCAAAUUGAUGAUGUAAUGGACUUGACAAAAUCAACUUGACUUAGAAUUGGAGCAUUCAACUUGAAUAUUUAGCCUCUUAUUAAAGAAACUACAAUCAUUCCAUCAAAGACCUCAAUUUGACAUGGAGGACUUGCCCCCAUUGAGCCAUCAAAAUAAGACAGAGAGUUCAACAAAAGAAUAUAUUUACACCUAAUUUUCAAGUGUCAAUAAAAUGAAUUAUAUUCCAUCAUACCUCAUUUGAAUAAAACCUUGGGUAAUAUGUAUUUUUGAACUCAUAUGACUGAACUUAGAAUGAAACUCUAAGCUGCCUACAUACCUCGGUGAAAAGGAUCAAGUCAUACCAUAGUUCGAAAUGGGUGAGUUUUUUUUCUUUUUUUGCAUGUCUUAACUUUUACCUAGGCCGCCUCUUUUGAGGUUUUCAACCCAGCAGUCUUUUUUUUU
Molecule: long non-coding RNA, 3366 nt
Filed under: Nicotiana tabacum (common tobacco)
Lineage: Eukaryota; Viridiplantae; Streptophyta; Magnoliopsida; Solanales; Solanaceae
Description: long non-coding RNA (NTAB_LNC011512)
Source: RNAcentral